UACGUAGGGGGCAAGCGUUAUCCGGAAUUACUGGGUGUAAAGGGUGAGUAGGCGGCAUGGUAAGCCAGAUGUGAAAGCCUUGGGCUUAACCCGAGGAUUGCAUUUGGAACUAUCAAGCUAGAGUACAGGAGAGGAAAGCGGAAUUCCUAGUGUAGCGGUGAAAUGCGUAGAUAUUAGGAAGAACACCAGUGGCGAAGGCGGCUUUCAGGACUGAAACUGACGCUGAGGCACGAAAGCGUGGGGAGCGAACAGG
RNAcentral lists this ribosomal RNA (253 nucleotides) under uncultured bacterium. RNAcentral describes it as "partial 16S ribosomal RNA". It matches the Rfam family "Bacterial small subunit ribosomal RNA", at positions 524 to 776 of the family's 1533-position model. The record is from RNAcentral.